AACCGAGAACUCCUACGGGAGGCAGCAGUGGGGAAUUUUGGACAAUGGGGGCAACCCUGAUCUAGCAUUGCCCUGUGUGUUAAGAAGGCCUUCGGUUUGUAAAGCUCUUUUGUCAUGGAAGAAACUGUAGUAGCUAAUAUCUAUUACUAAUGACGGUACCUGAAGAAUAAGCACUGGCUAACUACGUGCCAGCAGCCGCGGUAAUACGUAGGGUGCAAGCGUUAAUCGGAAUUACUGGGCGUAAAGCGUGCGCAGGCGGUUGUGUAAGUCAGAUGUGAAAUCCCCGGGCUCAACCUGGGAAUUGCAUUUGAGACUGCACGGCUAGAGUGUGUCAGAGGGGGGUAGAAUUCCACGUGUAGCAGUGAAAUGCGUAGAUAUGUGGAGGAAUACCGAUGGCGAAGGCAGCCCCCUGGGAUAACACUGAAGCUCAUGCACGAAAGCGUGGGGAGCAAACAGGAUUAGAAACCCGUGUAGUCCGACUGAGA
This 485-nucleotide ribosomal RNA is filed under the name uncultured bacterium. RNAcentral's name for it is "bacterial SSU rRNA". It matches the Rfam family "Bacterial small subunit ribosomal RNA", at positions 327 to 805 of the family's 1533-position model. The record is from RNAcentral.